UAAACUAUGAAUAGCAUAAUAUAUGGUUUCUAUUAUAUAUUGUAUUAUUUGAGUAUUUUCUUGUAAUGCUCUUUCAAUAAUUAUCUCCAAGACUUUAUGUUAUUUUAUAGAAUAUUGGGACCCCUAAAAAGCCCCAAUUUUUGGAGGCAUAAUACCAUAGUUUGGUAACUUCAGAACUCAAUAUCUCGAAGUGAGAACAUCGGGGAA
RNAcentral lists this long non-coding RNA (207 nucleotides) under Elaeis guineensis (African oil palm). RNAcentral describes it as "long non-coding RNA (EGUI_LNC017201)". The record is from RNAcentral. Lineage: Eukaryota; Viridiplantae; Streptophyta; Magnoliopsida; Arecales; Arecaceae.